Molecule: ribosomal RNA, 453 nt
Filed under: uncultured Paraprevotella sp.
Lineage: Bacteria; Pseudomonadati; Bacteroidota; Bacteroidia; Bacteroidales; Prevotellaceae
Description: partial 16S ribosomal RNA
Rfam family: Bacterial small subunit ribosomal RNA
Source: RNAcentral
ACGGAAGGCAGCAGUGAGGAAUAUUGGUCAAUGGGCGAGAGCCUGAACCAGCCAAGUAGCGUGAAGGAUGACUGCCCUAUGGGUUGUAAACUUCUUUUGUUCGGGAAUAAAGGAGCCUACGCGUAGGCUUUUGCAUGUACCGUUCGAAUAAGCAUCGGCUAAUUCCGUGCCAGCAGCCGCGGUAAUACGGAAGAUGCGAGCGUUAUCCGGAUUUAUUGGGUUUAAAGGGAGCGUAGGCGGCCUUUUAAGUCAGCGGUCAAAUGUCAGCGCCCAACGCUGGCCUGCCGUUGAUACUGAUGGGCUUGAAUACACACAAGGAAGGUGGAAUUCGUCGUGUAGCGGUGAAAUGCUUAGAUAUGACGAGGAACUCCGAUUGCGUAGGCAGCUGACCAGGCCGUAAAUGACGCUCAUGCACGAAAGUGCGGGGAUCGAACAGGAUUAGAUACCCUGGUA